Molecule: ribosomal RNA, 253 nt
Filed under: uncultured bacterium
Lineage: Bacteria
Description: partial 16S ribosomal RNA
Rfam family: Bacterial small subunit ribosomal RNA
Source: RNAcentral
UACGUAGGAUGCAAGCGUUGUCCGGAAUUAUUGGGCGUAAAGAGCGCGCAGGCGGUAUGACAAGUCAGAUGUGAAAGAGGCCGGCUUAACCGGCAAGGGUCAUUUGAAACUGUCAGACUAGAGUGCAGCAGAGGAUAGUGGAAUUCCCGGUGUAGUGGUGAAAUGCGUAGAUAUGCGGAGGAACACCGAUGGCGAAGGCAAUCCCCUGGGCCUGCACUGACGCUCAUGCACGAAAGCGUGGGGAGCAAACAGG